Molecule: non-coding RNA, 102 nt
Organism: Acanthosepion pharaonis
Lineage: Eukaryota; Metazoa; Mollusca; Cephalopoda; Sepiida; Sepiidae
Source: the annotation of a GenBank genome assembly
AUGUUGAAACACCAGUCCCCGUACGAUCACUAAAGUUAAGCAACAUCAGGCCUGGUCAGUACCUAGAUGGGUGACUGCUUGGGAAAAUCCAAGUGCUGUAAG